GAAUGAACGCUGGCGGCGUGCCUAACACAUGCAAGUCGAGCGAGAAAGUCCCUUUCGGGGGGCGAGUAAAGCGGCGCACGGGUGAGUAACGCGUGGGUAACCUACCCAGGAGUGGGGGAUAACCAGCCGAAAGGCUGACUAAUCCCGCAUACGACCAGCAGGCAUAAGUCUGUUGGGGAAAGAUGGCCUCUGCUUGCAAGCUAUCGCUCCUGGAUGGGCCCGCGUUGGAUUAGCUAGUUGGUGGGGUAAUGGCUCACCAAGGCUGCGAUCCAUAGCUGGUUUGAGAGGACGACCAGCCACACUGGAGCUGAGACACGGUCCAGACUCCUACGGGAGGCAGCAGUGAGGAAUAUUGCGCAAUGGGGGAAACCCUGACGCAGCGACGCCGUGUGAGCGAUGAAGGCCUUCGGGUUGUAAAGCUCUGUCAGAGGGGAAGAAAGGGGAUAUGGUUAAUACCCAUGUCCAUUGACGGUACCCUCUGAGGAAGCACCGGCUAACUCCGUGCCAGCAGCCGCGGUAAUACGGAGGAUGCAAGCGUUAUCCGGAUUCACUGGGUUUAAAGGGUGCGCAGGCGGACAUUUAAGUCAGGGGUGAAAUCCUACAGCUUAACUGUAGAACUGCCCUUGAUACUGAAUGCCUAGAGUAAAGCUGAAGUGGGCGGAAUGUGUUGUGUAGCGGUGAAAUGCUUAGAUAUAACACAGAACACCAAUCGCGAAGGCAGCUCACUAAACUUUAACUGACGCUCAUGCACGAAAGCGUGGGGAGCAAACAGGAUUAGAUACCCUGGUAGUCCACGCCCUAAACGAUGAUCACUCGCUGUUGGCGAUAUAUUGUCAGUGGCUAAGCAAAAGUGAUAAGUGAUCCACCUGGGGAGUACGACCGCAAGGUUGAAACUCAAAGGAAUUGACGGGGGCCCGCACAAGCGGAGGAGCAUGUGGUUUAAUUCGAUGAUACGCGAGGAACCUUACCAGGGCUCGAACGCAGGAGGAAUACUCCCGAAAGGAAGUAGCCAGAAAUGGCCGCCUGCGAGGUGCUGCAUGGUUGUCGUCAGCUCGUGCCGUGAGGUGUCAGGUUAAGUCCUAUAACGAGCGCAACCCCUAUUCAUAGUUGCCAGCAUAUUACGGUGGGGACUCUAUGAAAACUGCCUGCGCAAGCAGUGAGGAAGGUGGGGAUGACGUCAAAUCAGCACGGCCCUUAUGUCCUGGGCUACACACGUGCUACAAUGGCCGGUACAGAAGGCCGCAACCACGCAAGUGGAAGCUAAUCCCUAAAACCGGUCUCAGUUCGGAUUGGAGUCUGCAACCCGACUCCAUGAAGCCGGAUUCGCUAGUAAUCGCACAUCAGCCAUGGCGCGGUGAAUACGUUCCCGGGCCU
This 1374-nucleotide ribosomal RNA is filed under the name uncultured bacterium. RNAcentral's name for it is "bacterial SSU rRNA". It matches the Rfam family "Bacterial small subunit ribosomal RNA", at positions 27 to 1381 of the family's 1533-position model. The record is from RNAcentral.